RNAcentral lists this unclassified non-coding RNA (358 nucleotides) under soil metagenome. RNAcentral describes it as "partial contains 5.8S ribosomal RNA, internal transcribed spacer 2, and large subunit ribosomal RNA". The stretch from base 1 to 120 matches the Rfam family "5.8S ribosomal RNA", at positions 35 to 154 of the family's 154-position model. The record is from RNAcentral.
GAUGAAGAACGCAGCGAAAUGCGAUAAGUAAUGUGAAUUGCAGAAUUCAGUGAAUCAUCGAAUCUUUGAACGCACAUUGCGCCCGUCAGUAUUCUGGCGGGCAUGCCUGUUCGAGCGUCAUUACGCCCCUCAAGCCCCCUGUGGACUUGGUGUUGGGGAUCGGCGAGGCUGGUUUUCCAGCACAGCCGUCCCUUAAAUUAAUUGGCGGUCUCGCCGUGGCCCUCCUCUGCGCAGUAGUAAAACACUCGCAACAGGAGCCCGGCGCGGUCCACUGCCGUAAAACCCCCCAACUUUUUAUAGUUGACCUCGAAUCAGGUAGGACUACCCGCUGAACUUAAGCAUAUCAAUAAGCGGAGGA